GCGCAGGGUGGAUGCCUUGGCACUAAGAGCCGAUGAAAGACGUGAUAAGCUGCGAAAAGCUUCGGGGAGGAGCAAAUAUCCAUUGAUCCGGAGAUAUCUGAAUGGGGAAACCCACUUGAGCAAACCUCAAGUAUCCAUACGCCAAUCCAUAACGUAUGGAAGGGAACCGGGGGAACUGAAACAUCUAAGUACCCCGAGGAGAAGAAAGAAACCUCGAUUUCCAAAGUAGCGGCGAGCGAAAUGGAAAGAGCCCAAACCGUGGUGCGUGCACCGCGGGGUUGUGGACUGCAUAAGGUACUCGAAUCAAUAGCCGAACAGUUUUGGGAAAUCUGAUCAGAGAGGGUGAAAAUCCCGUAGGCGAAAUUGAUGAGAGGCUGGCAGGAUCCAGAGUACCACGAGACACGGGAAACCUUGUGGGAAGCAGGAGGGACCACCCUCCAAGGCUAAAUACUCCUCAGUGACCGAUAGCGCAUAGUACUGUGAAGGAAAGGUGAAAAGGACCCCGGGAGGGGAGUGAAAGAGAACCUGAAACC
This 533-nucleotide ribosomal RNA is filed under the name Streptococcus infantis. RNAcentral's name for it is "partial 23S ribosomal RNA". It matches the Rfam family "Bacterial large subunit ribosomal RNA", at positions 17 to 557 of the family's 2925-position model. Lineage: Bacteria; Bacillati; Bacillota; Bacilli; Lactobacillales; Streptococcaceae. The record is from RNAcentral.